CAUUGCAUACUGAAUACAUAGGUAUGCAAAGCGAACGCGGCGAACUGAAACAUCUAAGUAGCUGCAGGAAAAGAAAUCAACCGAGAUUCCCAAAGUAGUGGCGAGCGAAAUGGGAUGAGCCUGUACGUGAUAGUCGAACUGAUAGUGGAACAGAUUGGAAACUCUGGCCAUAGCGGGUGAUAGCCCCGUACACGAAAUCAGAUCGGUGGUACUAAGCGUACGACAAGUAGGGCGGGACACGAGAAAUCCUGUCUGAACAUGGGGGGACCAUCCUCCAAGGCUAAAUACUCGUAAUCGACCGAUAGUGAACCAGUACCGUGAGGGAAAGGCGAAAAGAACCCCGGGAGGGGAGUGAAAUAGAUCCUGAAACCGUGUGCAUACAAACAGUCGGAGCCUCUUUAUGGGGUGACGGCGUACCUUUUGUAUAAUGGGUCAGCGACUUACAUUCAGUGGCGAGGUUAACCGAAUAGGGGAGCCGUAGAGAAAUCGAGUCCGAACAGGGCGACAGUCGCUGGGUGUAGACCCGAAACCAAGUGAUCUACCCAUGGCCAGGAUGAAGGUGCGGUAACACGCCCUGGAGGUCCGAACCCACUAAUGUUGAAAAAUUAGGGGAUGAGCUGUGGGUAGGGGUGAAAGGCUAAACAAACUUGGAAAUAGCUGGUUCUCUCCGAAAACUAUUUAGGUAGUGCCUCAAGUAUCACCAUCGGGGGUAGAGCACUGUUAUGGCUAGGGGGUCAUUGCGACUUACCAAACCAUUGCAAACUCCGAAUACCGAUGAGUGCGAGCUUGGGAGACAGACGUCGGGUGCUAACGUCCGGCGUCAAGAGGGAAACAACCCAGACCGCCAGCUAAGGUCCCAAAGAUUGGCUAAGUGGAAAACGAAGUGGGAAGGCUAAAACAGUCAGGAUGUUGGCUUAGAAGCAGCCACCAUUUAAAGAAAGCGUAAUAGCUCACUGAUCGAGUCGUCCUGCGCGGAAGAUGUAACGGGGCUAAGCCAGUCACCGAAGCUGCGGAUAUCUAGCAAUAGAUAUGGUAGGAGAGCGUUCUGUAAGCCUGCGAAGGUGUCUUGUAAAGGAUGCUGGAGGUAUCAGAAGUGCGAAUGCUGACAUGAGUAGCGAUAAUGCGGGUGAAAAGCCCGCACGCCGUAAGCCCAAGGUUUCCUGUUCAACGUUCAUCGGAGCAGGGUGAGUCGGCCCCUAAGGCGAGGCAGAGAUGCGUAGCUGAUGGGAAGCAGGUUAAUAUUCCUGCACCGUCGUAUGAUGCGAUGGGGGGACGGAUCGCGGAAGGUUGUCUAGCUGUUGGAAUAGCUAGUUUCUGAUUCAUAGAAGGUGCUUAGGCAAAUCCGGGCACGUAAUUCAAGGGAUUGGGACGAGGGACUUAGGUCCUGAAGCAAUCGGAAGUGGUUCCAAGAAAAGCCUCUAAGCUUCAGUCAUACGAGACCGUACCGCAAACCGACACAGGUGGGCGAGAUGAGUAUUCUAAGGCGCUUGAGAGAACUCGGGAGAAGGAACUCGGCAAAUUGGUACCGUAACUUCGGGAUAAGGUACGCCCCGGUAGCUUGACUGCUUUACUGCAGAAGGGCGAAAGGGUUGCAAUAAACUGGUGGCUGCGACUGUUUAAUAAAAACACAGCACUCUGCAAACACGAAAGUGGACGUAUAGGGUGUGACGCCUGCCCGUUGCUGGAAGAUUAAAUGAUGGGGUGCAAGCUCUUGAUUGAAGUCCCAGUAAACGGCGGCCGUAACUAUAACGGUCCUAAGGUAGCGAAAUUCCUUGUCGGGUAAGUUCCGACCUGCACGAAUGGCGUAACGAUGGCCACACUGUCUCCUCCCGAGACUCAGCGAAGUUGAAAUGUUUGUGAUGAUGCAAUCUACCCGCGGCUAGACGGAAAGACCCCAUGAACCUUUACUGUAGCUUUGCAUUGGACUUUGAACCAAUCUGUGUAGGAUAGGUGGGAGGCUUUGAAGCGGGGACGCCAGUUCUCGUGGAGCCA
Molecule: ribosomal RNA, 1992 nt
Filed under: Halobellus sp. Atlit-31R
Lineage: Archaea; Methanobacteriati; Methanobacteriota; Halobacteria; Halobacteriales; Haloferacaceae
Description: bacterial LSU rRNA
Rfam family: Bacterial large subunit ribosomal RNA
Source: RNAcentral